CCGCAGCCAAUUAAGCCGGCCGUGCCCCGCCCCCCGGGGCCCGGCGCGCAAUGGCUGCGCACAGAGACCCCUCCCCCCGGCUGUGUAGGGACCCCCCCCGUGGGGGGCACCCAAAGGGGCCGGGGGGACAAAA
Lonchura striata (white-rumped munia) is the source of this 133-nucleotide small nucleolar RNA. Its record names the gene SNORA70. It matches the Rfam family "Small nucleolar RNA SNORA70". From Rfam's summary of the family: snoRNA U70 seems to be exclusive to mammals and is a member of the H/ACA class of snoRNA which contain H (ANANNA) and ACA box motifs. H/ACA box snoRNAs are involved in the conversion of uridines to pseudouridines (5-ribosyluracil) a constituent of structural RNAs (transfer, ribosomal, small nuclear, and small nucleolar). Lineage: Eukaryota; Metazoa; Chordata; Aves; Passeriformes; Estrildidae. The record is from Ensembl.